This 252-nucleotide ribosomal RNA is filed under the name uncultured bacterium. RNAcentral describes it as "partial 16S ribosomal RNA". It matches the Rfam family "Bacterial small subunit ribosomal RNA", at positions 524 to 776 of the family's 1533-position model. The record is from RNAcentral.
UACGGAGGAUGCGAGCGUUAUCCGGAUUCAUUGGGUUUAAAGGGUGCGUAGGCGGGAUGCCAAGUCAGCGGUAAAAAUGCGGUGCUCAACGCCGUCGAGCCGUUGAAACUGGCGUUCUUGAGUGGGCGAGAAGUAUGCGGAAUGCGUGGUGUAGCGGUGAAAUGCAUAGAUAUCACGCAGAACUCCGAUUGUGAAGGCAGCAUACCGGCGCCCUACUGACGCUGAGGCACGAAAGCGUGGGUAUCGAACAGG